AAAGUCCUUCUGAAUAGAAGUGAUGUGUUUUUGCAAGAAAAAUAUCUAUAUUUAAAACUUUAUGAAUUCAAAUAACUAGCUUCCGGCGGACAACCAUACGCAGAAUGCUCAAGUUGACUUGGGAUAAAUGAGUAAUCCUCUGACGCAGGAUGUAGGAGUAUUGUAAGCUUAGACGCCUCUUGCGGUUCAAACAAAUAGGGCUAGGCAACAAACUCAAGUUCCUUUUCUCUUAUAUUGAAAUCCUCCAAAAUUUCUCUUUGAAAAUUAUGGUUUGAGACUUAUAAUUCGUGACUGGUGAUUUGUUUUGCUCUAUCCUCUGCGCCUUCGCGUCCGUCAUUACAUUGUGCGUCAGGUCAAAGGUUACUCUUCCGCCGCAAAUUGACUUGCGCAUUCUGCGUACGGUCGUCCGCCAAAAACGCAUGGCUUUGCUUCAGAAGGCCUUUAUUAACCCCCUGGAGUCGUAUGGAUUACUUAUGGAUGGAUACAUAAUUUUUUUAUUUCAAAACGCAGCCCCGCGUCCACAACCAUUAUAAACCGUGGAGGACUAAGGAUAUGUUCGUCUUAAAGAAGAUCGUCAUAGGCUACACCUAUGGCUUGAGGAUCUAAACCUCUUGGAGACCCAGUAACCUCCCUCAGUAACCGUCACAGAGUAUCAAGAGAGUUUGGUAACCUUGACAAACAGGAAGGUCUUGGCUCCAUUUCCCUUGUGAUGUGCAGUAAGUAGAAUUACUUCCAUUCAAAGUAAAUCCAGCUCCACACUCCAGCCAGCACAAGGAGCCAUAGCUGAACUUCUCCAAACGGUCCUGACACUGCACAGUGCCAUGCUGGAAAGACUCCAGAGCAUCACAUCUUAUAACUGAAAAGAUAAAAAUGGCAUGAAAGCA
This is a long non-coding RNA of Megalobrama amblycephala (Wuchang bream), 884 nucleotides long. RefSeq lists it as uncharacterized. NCBI's taxonomy places the organism in Eukaryota, Metazoa, Chordata, Actinopteri, Cypriniformes, Xenocyprididae. The record is from RefSeq and is a predicted model, not a curated record. The transcript is spliced from 2 exons.